Molecule: non-coding RNA, 87 nt
Organism: Fimicolochytrium jonesii
Lineage: Eukaryota; Fungi; Chytridiomycota; Chytridiomycetes; Spizellomycetales; Powellomycetaceae
Source: the annotation of a RefSeq genome assembly
GGGGAAUUAGCUCAAAUGGCAGAGCGCUCGCUUAGCACGCACUGCCUAGCAUGCGAGAGGCAGGGAGAUCGAUACUCCCAUUCUCCA